AUGAGGGUUCCAGAGAAGAGGAAGGUCAGAUGGGAGGAGGGAAGCAUAACUAAGGGGUACAGGGAGCCAAUUGGACAAAGUCUAGGCAUAAAGACCAAUCACCAAGCAAACAAAACAACAAAAAAAGAGGGUCUGGAUUCACAGAAGGAUGAUCAAAACUCAGAGGUUCUCUCAGACCAACCUCUCUGGAGGAAUCCCCAAAGAGAAGGCCUUGGAGGAAUGACACACCUAUUGAGACUGUUGGAAAGAUCUGAAGGAAGGAAAAAUUCUAAAGAAAUUCCUUGAGGGCUAAUGAGAGGAAAUCCAAGGAUAAAAUUUUUCCUAUUCCCAGUUUUGUCUUGACAAGACCUGCUCAUGGGAUGGCUGUAUAAGGAACAAAUAAAAUAACAGAAGUGAAAAUAAGGUAAAGUACA
This 413-nucleotide long non-coding RNA is filed under the name Monodelphis domestica (gray short-tailed opossum). RNAcentral's name for it is "lncRNA (ENSMODG00000049343.1)". The record is from RNAcentral. Lineage: Eukaryota; Metazoa; Chordata; Mammalia; Didelphimorphia; Didelphidae.